RNAcentral lists this ribosomal RNA (575 nucleotides) under uncultured bacterium. RNAcentral's name for it is "bacterial SSU rRNA". It matches the Rfam family "Bacterial small subunit ribosomal RNA", at positions 338 to 916 of the family's 1533-position model. The record is from RNAcentral.
CCUACGGGAGGCAGCAGUGAGGAAUAUUGGACAAUGGGCGCAAGCCUGAUCCAGCCAUGCCGCGUGCAGGAAGACGGUCCUAUGGAUUGUAAACUGCUUUUGUACAGGAAGAAACACUCCCUCGUGAGGGAGCUUGACGGUACUGUAAGAAUAAGGAUCGGCUAACUCCGUGCCAGCAGUCGCGGUAAUACGGAGGAUCCAAGCGUUAUCCGGAAUCAUUGGGUUUAAAGGGUCCGUAGGCGGUUUAAUAAGUCAGUGGUGAAAUCUGGUCGCUCAACGAUCAAACGGCCAUUGAUACUGUUAGACUUGAAUUAUUAGGAAGUAACUAGAAUAUGUAGUGUAGCGGUGAAAUGCUUAGAUAUUACAUGGAAUACCAAUUGCGAAGGCAGGUUACUACUAAUGGAUUGACGCUGAUGGACGAAAGCGUGGGGAGCGAACAGGAUUAGAUACCCUGGUAGUCCACGCCGUAAACGAUGGAUACUAGCUGUUCGGAGCAAUCUGAGUGGCUAAGCGAAAGUGAUAAGUAUCCCACCUGGGGAGUACGUUCGCAAGAAUGAAACUUAAUGAAUUGACGG